This 1699-nucleotide long non-coding RNA is filed under the name Anser cygnoides (Swan goose). Its description in RNAcentral is "lncRNA (ENSACDG00005007164.1)". Lineage: Eukaryota; Metazoa; Chordata; Aves; Anseriformes; Anatidae. The record is from RNAcentral.
GAAGGGGCGGGGCUACCGCUUGGCCACGCCUCCUGUGAGGUCAAGCCACGCCCACCCGGACCGGAAGGGGAGGGGCCUCGGCGAUGCCCCGCCCCCGCAGAGGAGGACGGCUCCCCAUUGGAGGACUGGGCAGGCCACGCCCCCUAUGAGGACAAGCCCCGCCCACCGCUGGGCGAGUGGGAGGGGCCUCGGCGAAGCCACGCCCCCACGAUGAAGCCACACCCGCUCGUGGGCCAAUGGGAGGGGCUCCAGGAGCAAGGCCACGCCCCCGUUGGAGGCAAGCCACGCCCACUAACGGACAGGCCACGCCCCCUGGAGGGGGAGGGCGGGCUGUGGGCGGGGCCUCGGGCCGCCCCGCCCCCCGCGGCCCAAGAUGGCCGCCGGCCCCCCGCGGAGGCCGCUGGCCAAUGGGGUGGCGGCGGGGCCGCGGGCGGCGCCCAAUCAGGGGGCUCCGGCCCGGGCAGGGGAGGCCGGCGAGGCCCCGGGAGGCCGCGGGAGGCCGGAGGAGGAGGAGGCGGCGGCCAAUGAGGGGCCGCGAUGCUGCGGGGGGUCGGCGGAGCCGGCCAAUGAGGAGCUGGGAGGCUGCCGGGGGGCGGCGGCGGCCAUCUUGGGGUCGCCGGAGGCCGGCGGGAGGUCGGCGGAGGCCGAGGCGAGGUCGGCGGAGGUCAAGGUGAGGUCAGCGGAGGCCCGCGGGGGGUCGGCGGCGGCCAAUGAGGAGCCGGGAGGGGACAGGAAGUGGACGGCGGCCAUCUUGGGGUCAACGGCGGCCAUCUUGGGGUCAACGGCGGCCAACGUGAGGUCAACGGCGGCCAACGUGAGGUCAACGGCGGCCAACGUGAGGUCAACGGAGGCCGGCGGGAGGUCGACGGAGGCUGGCAGGAGGUCGACGGAGGCCAACGAGGGGCCAGCGGAGGCCAAGGUGAGGCCAACGGCGGCCAGUUUAGGGUCAACGGCAGCCAAUGAGGUGGCAGGAAGGGACAGGAAGUCGACGGUGGCCACCUCGGGGUCAACGGCGGCCAACGUGAGGUCGAUGGAGGCCAGCGGGAGGUCGACAGAGGCCAACGAGGGGUCAACGGAGGCCAAUUUAGGGUCAGCGGAGGCCGCCGGGAGGUCACCGGCAGCCAAUGAGGCGUCAGAAGGCUGCGGGAGGCCAAUGGAGGCCAGCCCGGGGUCAACGGCGGCCAAUGAGGAGCCAGGAGCCAACAGGAAGUCAACGGAGGCCAACGGGACGUCGACGGAGGCCGAUGAGGAGCCAGGAGCCAAUGGGAGGCCAACGGAGACCAAUGAGGAUGGUGCAGCCUCCGCGGCGGCCAUCUUGGAGCCGAGGCCAGCCAAUGAGGGGCUGGAGAGCACCGCAACAUCAUCAGCGGCCAUCUUGGGGGCAACGGACACCACCGUGACGUCAUCGGCGGCCAUCUUGGAGGACACCGUCGUGACGUCAUCGGCGGCCAUCUUGGAGCCAGAGCCCGCCCCCGCCGCGGCGUCGGCCAUCUUGGCGGCAACGGACACCGCCGUGACGUCAACGUCGGCCAUCUUGGAGGCAACGGACACCACCGUGACGUCGACGGCAGCCCUCUUGGGGCCAACAGACACCGCCGCGACGUCGACGUCGGCCAUCUUGGCGACAACGGACGCCGCCACGACCUCAUCGGCGGCCAUCUUGGGCUCUCCGGUAGACCGCGGCCACCUGGAGGCCAAC